UUUCUCAAGCUGGCGACAUCAAAACCGACAAUCGAAACAGACUAUCCGGUAGAAGAACUUUGGGCACAAGGCACAACUGGAAUGUAUUAAUAAAAAACAAAAAAUAACAAGA
Molecule: non-coding RNA, 112 nt
Organism: Nylanderia fulva
Lineage: Eukaryota; Metazoa; Arthropoda; Insecta; Hymenoptera; Formicidae
Source: RefSeq, a predicted model, not a curated record